Molecule: ribosomal RNA, 327 nt
Filed under: uncultured eukaryote
Lineage: Eukaryota
Description: partial 18S ribosomal RNA
Rfam family: Eukaryotic small subunit ribosomal RNA
Source: RNAcentral
CCCUUAGAUGUUCUGGGCCGCACGCGCGCUACACUGAUGAAUGCAACGAGCUCUACCCUUGACCGAAAGGCCCGGGUAAACUUGCGAAACUUCAUCGUGAUGGGGAUAGAUUAUUGCAAUUAUUAAUCUUCAACGAGGAAUUCCUAGUAAGCGCGAGUCAUCAGCUCGCGUUGAUUACGUCCCUGCCCUUUGUACACACCGCCCGUCGCUCCUACCGAUUGAAUGGUCCGGUGAAAUCUUCGGAUUGCUGACCAAGAUCCAGCAAUGGAGCUUGGUUGCGAGAAGUUGAUUAAACCUUAUUAUUUAGAGGAAGGAGAAGUCGUAACA